Molecule: ribosomal RNA, 427 nt
Filed under: uncultured bacterium
Lineage: Bacteria
Description: partial 16S ribosomal RNA
Rfam family: Bacterial small subunit ribosomal RNA
Source: RNAcentral
UAGGGAAUAUUGGACAAUGGGCGAAAGCCUGAUCCAGCCAUGCCGCGUGUGUGAAGAAGGUCUUCGGAUUGUAAAGCACUUUAAGUUGGGAGGAAGGGCAGUUACCUAAUACGUGAUUGUUUUAACGUUACCGACAGAAUAAGCACCGGCUAACUCUGUGCCAGCAGCCGCGGUAAUACAGAGGGUGCAAGCGUUAAUCGGAAUUACUGGGCGUAAAGCGCGCGUAGGUGGUUUGUUAAGUUGGAUGUGAAAUCCCCGGGCUCAACCUGGGAACUGCAUUCAAAACUGACUGACUAGAGUAUGGUAGAGGGUGGUGGAAUUUCCUGUGUAGCGGUGAAAUGCGUAGAUAUAGGAAGGAACACCAGUGGCGAAGGCGACCACCUGGACUAAUACUGACACUGAGGUGCGAAAGCGUGGGGAGCAAACA